UAACGCGUAAGUAAUCUGCCUAUCAGAGGGGAAUAACAGUGAGAAAUCAUUGCUAAUACCGCAUAUACUAAUUUUAUUGCACGAUAGAAUUGGGAAAGGAGCAAUCCGCUGACAGAUGGGCUUGCGUCUGAUUAGUUAGUUGGCAGGGUAAAGGCCUACCAAGACGAUGAUCAGUAGCCGGACUGAGAGGUUGAACGGCCACAUUGGGACUGAGAUACGGCCCAGACUCCUACGGGAGGCAGCAG
Molecule: ribosomal RNA, 245 nt
Filed under: uncultured bacterium
Lineage: Bacteria
Description: partial 16S ribosomal RNA
Rfam family: Bacterial small subunit ribosomal RNA
Source: RNAcentral